GCCGACUUAGCUUAACAGGUAGAGCAACUGACUUGUAAUCAGUGGAUCACCAGUUCGAAUCCGGUAGUCGGCACCA
Molecule: transfer RNA, 76 nt
Filed under: Escherichia coli
Lineage: Bacteria; Pseudomonadati; Pseudomonadota; Gammaproteobacteria; Enterobacterales; Enterobacteriaceae
Description: tRNA-Thr
Rfam family: tRNA
About the family: Transfer RNA (tRNA) molecules are approximately 80 nucleotides in length. Their secondary structure includes four short double-helical elements and three loops (D, anti-codon, and T loops). Further hydrogen bonds mediate the characteristic L-shaped molecular structure. tRNAs have two regions of fundamental functional importance: the anti-codon, which is responsible for specific mRNA codon recognition, and the 3' end, to which the tRNAs corresponding amino acid is attached (by aminoacyl-tRNA synthetases). tRNAs cope with the degeneracy of the genetic code in two manners: having more than one tRNA (with a specific anti-codon) for a particular amino acid; and 'wobble' base-pairing, i.e. permitting non-standard base-pairing at the 3rd anti-codon position.
Source: RNAcentral